RNAcentral lists this ribosomal RNA (492 nucleotides) under uncultured bacterium. Its description in RNAcentral is "partial 16S ribosomal RNA". It matches the Rfam family "Bacterial small subunit ribosomal RNA", at positions 29 to 507 of the family's 1533-position model. The record is from RNAcentral.
AGUGAACGCUGGCGGUAGGCCUAACGCAUGCAAGUCGAACGGCAGCACAGUAAGAGCUUGCUCUUACGGGAGGCGAGUGGCGGACGGGUGAGGAAUACAUCGGAAUCUACUUUUUCGUGGGGGAUAACGUAGGGAAACUUACGCUAAUACCGCAUACGACCUACGGGUGAAAGCAGGGGAUCUUCGGACCUUGCGCGAUUGAAUGAGCCGAUGUCGGAUUAGCUAGUUGGCGGGGUAAAGGCCCACCAAGGCGACGAUCCGUAGCUGGUCUGAGAGGAUGAUCAGCCACACAGGAACUGAGACACGGUCCAGACUCCUACGGGAGGCAGCAGUGGGGAAUAUUGGACAAUGGGCGCAAGCCUGAUCCAGCCAUACCGCGUGGGUGAAGAAGGCCUUCGGGUUGUAAAGCCCUUUUGUUGGGAAAGAAAAGCAGCAGGUUAAUACCCCGCUGUUCUGACGGUACCCAAAGAAUAAGCACCGGCUAACGUCGUG